This 786-nucleotide ribosomal RNA is filed under the name uncultured fungus. Its description in RNAcentral is "eukaryotic LSU rRNA". The stretch from base 1 to 241 matches the Rfam family "Eukaryotic small subunit ribosomal RNA", at positions 1593 to 1831 of the family's 1831-position model. Lineage: Eukaryota; Fungi. The record is from RNAcentral.
UUGCUCUUCAACGAGGAAUUCCUAGUAAGCGCAAGUCAUCAGCUUGCGCUGAUUACGUCCCUGCCCUUUGUACACACCGCCCGUCGCUACUACCGAUUGAAUGGCUAAGUGAGGCUUUCGGACUGGCCUGGGGAGAGUGGUAACACUCACCUUGGGCCGGAAAGUUGUCCAAACUUGGUCAUUUAGAGGAAGUAAAAGUCGUAACAAGGUUUCCGUAGGUGAACCUGCGGAAGGAUCAUUACAGAGUGUGAUGCCAUAUGGAACUCAGUUUCGUGUGGUUGACCCUCCACCCGUGUCGAUUAUCUCAUGUUGCUUUGGCGGACUCGGCUUGCCCGCGCCCACUUUGGUGGGGGAAUGUCCGCCAGGGAAGACCAAAACUCUUGUUAUCAGUGAUGUCUGAGGAUGAUAUAUAAUCAUGAAAACUUUCAACAACGGAUCUCUUGGCUCUGGCAUCGAUGAAGAACGCAGCGAAAUGCGAUAAGUAAUGUGAAUUGCAGAAUUUAGUGAAUCAUCGAAUCUUUGAACGCACAUUGCGCCCCUGGGAAUUCCCAGGGGCAUGCCUGUUCGAGCGUCCGUAACAACCUCUCAAGCCUGGCUUGGUCUUGGGACACGCUGCUCUAGCGGCGGUCCUUAAAAGCAGUGGCGGGCCUAUGUAACUCUCCGCGUAGUAAUAUACAUCUCGCGAUAGAGAAGCAGAAGGACUUGCCAAAAAUCCUUAAUUGCUCAGGUUGACCUCGAAUCAGGUAGGGAUACCCGCUGAACUUAAGCAUAUCAAUAAGCGGAGGA